This 253-nucleotide ribosomal RNA is filed under the name uncultured bacterium. RNAcentral describes it as "partial 16S ribosomal RNA". It matches the Rfam family "Bacterial small subunit ribosomal RNA", at positions 524 to 776 of the family's 1533-position model. The record is from RNAcentral.
UACGGAGGGAGCUAGCGUUGUUCGGAAUUACUGGGCGUAAAGCGAGUGUAGGCGGUUUGGUAAGUCGGAUGUGAAAGCCCUGGGCUCAACCCAGGAAGUGCAUUCGAUACUGUCAAGCUAGAGUAUCGGAGAGGUUGGUGGAAUUCUCGGUGUAGAGGUGAAAUUCGUAGAUAUCGAGAGGAACACCGGUGGCGAAGGCGGCCAACUGGACGAAUACUGACGCUGAGACUCGAAAGCGUGGGGAGCAAACAGG